Physcomitrium patens is the source of this 741-nucleotide non-coding RNA. NCBI's taxonomy places the organism in Eukaryota, Viridiplantae, Streptophyta, Bryopsida, Funariales, Funariaceae. The record is from RefSeq and is a predicted model, not a curated record.
UCCAGAUGUCGAAGAUUAUCUGUCCAUUGGAUGCUUGUUGUGGACUUGAUUGGUAACAGACCGUAAAGCGUCGCCGUGAAGCACUGCAGUGUUUCCGCAGGGCCCCCCGGCGUCGCAAGCAUGGGGUCGGGAUGGGACAACCAAGUCGUCGUCCUUCCUAGGAUGCUCAACUGUGCUGCGGACCCAGAAAAUGGAAAUUCUGCUCUUGGACUAUUAACUGUUCUGUAUGCAUGCAAUUUGAAGGUAUUACCCUGUUGCACUCUGAGCAGGUGAGGAUUAGAUGUGCUGGCAGUUCCAGCAUGAGCUAUGAAUUGAGAGACCAGACCGCGCUUGACGUAGCACAGUCAGACCUCUCCGGAACAAAGGGUCAUGUUAAAUUAACGUAGAGUCACAAGAUAGAGCUCAUUUCACAGUUUUUUCCUUUUACCCCAGGAAAAGAACCGAUCCGCGUGAAGACGGCUCCGUUGCGAGGAGAAUCAAUUAUGUUGAGUUUGCGUAUGGGAAGUUAGUCUUGAUCCUUCGGUUGGCAGAACACGUGCAAGUCUCUUCUUCACUGCUGUACAUGAACCAUACUAAGAAAUGGACAAAUGCAAAAGUCCCAUCACCUCACAAAUAGUGGUACGACUACAGAUACGCGCAAUUGGUUGUGAAAGUCAAGUUGCAAACUAAUGAGUUGUAGCAAACUGAAUUGGAAUGUCUCCAUCCUAGAAAACAAUGAACUAAAAGUUACAGAGUGAUACA